GGCGCUCCUCGCUUCCGUCUCUUGGGCUGCGUUUUCUUUGCUUUCUUCCCUGCCGCCGCCGCCGCCGCCGCCGCUUAUUGCCAGUCUGAGCCUUGGGGCAGGCAGAACAGAAGCAACCAAAGCUUGUUCUCCUUGCAGGGAGUGUGCACGAAUAGUUUGAUGUCAAACCAGUUCACAUCAAACUGAGCCAGUUUGGCAGUUGGAUCGCAAAUGGGGCCGGUCUCGUCUGCGAUGGAACCUUGGAGCCAGAGGAGAAUGAGGAACUGGACCCAACAGGGCCUGCUGGAACGGCAGCAGUUCGGCUGCAAAGGCUGGCAUUCUUCUGUACCCACCAUCACUUGCCCAUUCACCAAGGCUUUUUCCAGAUUACACACUGCAGUGUACUCACACCAUAUCCUCUAAGUGCCCCUCCAUAUUACUUGUGUUUCCACAUCGGUGUUGCUACGCUGUCAGCAGGGUGUGUUCACAUUUCCCAUGCCUUGAUUCAAAUUUUAAUGAUACGUUUUUGCACUACAAUGUUGUAAAUGCGCUGCAGGGAAGUAGCUGCAUUUUUCCGUUGUAGGAAGCCUUGCCCUGCAUUGGACAGUUCUUUGCCCCCGCCCUGUGCUUGCUUCCCUCAUCCCUUCCCCUCGGGAAAGAAACAGGCAGGGAGAAAUCUUGGCUUUCCCCUCCUUUCCUCCCACAGAUCCCAAACCCCACACCUCCCUCCUCCUCCACUUGCUUCCACUAUAACUUGAGCUUCUGAACACAGAAGAGGAGGGGGAGGGAGGAGAUCGGAGGGGUUUUAUUAUUAUUUUUCCACAGGGGCUCUUUUAUGCACCCCCCUUUUAAUUUGCUACUUUGGCCAGAGACUCAUAUUAGUGCAGCUGAGCAGAUUUCUGAAUCCCACCCUUUCUGGUGCACCUUUUACUGAAGAGGAAGCGCAUUGAACUAAAUCAUUUACUUCUGUGCAAUUACACUUAAGAGCCUCCCCAUCUCUUACAACUUUUUAAAAGGCAGUCAAGACACAUUUGUUCACCCAGGCUUUUAAUUACUGUUUAAUUGAUUAUUUUUAAUAGUUCUAACAUUUUAAAUUUUUAAUUGUUGCACUGUUGAAAUCUUUUUAUUUGACCGGAUAUAUGUUUUAAUUAGUUUUAGUCUCGAAAAAGAUCUUUCACCACUUGCUACUGAUAUUGGAAGCAUCAAUAGUAUCCAUAAUGAAAUUGCUAAAUUUUGAAAUACACUUAUUAAAUCGUUUGAGUAUAUAUAUAUUGCAAUAACUGCACUGUGUCAUAAUCCUUCAGUUCUUUAAUGGUAUCUUUGAAUAUCCUUAGUUCAUUGUAUAACUCUUGACCACUGAUAUCUAUUUCUUCACCAUCACUCAAAGCAAAUAGUAAAUUGUUGCACUUUUCUUUUAAAGAUUCAUCAUCUAGAUUGUAAAUUUCAUUGAAAUUUGAAGAGGAACUGAAAUUUUUAUGCAUGACUUGUCAAAAGAUCGAAUCUUUCAAUUAAAUAAUUGAUUAUCACAUCCAUAACUGGAUGGAAAAAUGAAGUUUUAUAUCUAUGUUGCGGGUUAACCGGCCUUUCUUCUUGACUUCCGUAAUCAAACACUUGUUUUUUUCAUCUGUGUUAUGUAUUGUCUCUGAAUGCUGGACAAAUUUCUAAAUCGUUUGCUAAUGCUUUUGCUGAUUCAAGUUACAAGAUUAAAGUUUUCAUCCAAGCGGAA
Hemicordylus capensis (graceful crag lizard) is the source of this 1705-nucleotide long non-coding RNA. RefSeq lists it as uncharacterized. The transcript has 2 exons. The record is from RefSeq and is a predicted model, not a curated record. Lineage: Eukaryota; Metazoa; Chordata; Lepidosauria; Squamata; Cordylidae.